This 492-nucleotide ribosomal RNA is filed under the name uncultured bacterium. Its description in RNAcentral is "partial 16S ribosomal RNA". It matches the Rfam family "Bacterial small subunit ribosomal RNA", at positions 29 to 507 of the family's 1533-position model. The record is from RNAcentral.
AGUGAACGCUGGCGGUAGGCCUAACACAUGCAAGUCGAACGGCAGCACAGUAAGAGCUUGCUCUUACGGGUGGCGAGUGGCGGACGGGCGAGGAAUACAUCGGAAUCUACUUUUUCGUGGGGGAUAACGUAGGGAAACUUACGCUAAUACCGCAUACGACCUACGGGUGAAAGCAGGGGAUCUUCGGACCUUGCGCGAUUGAAUGAGCCGAUGUCGGAUUAGCUAGUUGGCGGGGUAAAGGCCCACCAAGGCGACGAUCCGUAGCUGGUCUGAGAGGAUGAUCAGCCACACUGGAACUGAGACACGGUCCAGACUCCUACGGGAGGCAGCAGCGGGGAAUAUUGGACAAUGGGCGCAAGCCUGAUCCAGCCAUACCGCGUGGGUGAAGAAGGCCUUCGGGUUGUAAAGCCCUUUUGUUGGGAAAGAAAAGCAGCAGGUUAAUACCCCGCUGUUCUGACGGUACCCAAAGAAUAAGCGCCGGCUAACUUCGUG